RNA transcript from Symphalangus syndactylus (siamang), 5310 nucleotides. It is a transcript of the gene named coiled-coil domain-containing protein 138, with no coding region annotated. The record is from RefSeq and is a predicted model, not a curated record. NCBI's taxonomy places the organism in Eukaryota, Metazoa, Chordata, Mammalia, Primates, Hylobatidae.
GUCUGGGGGCACGCAGCGGCUCUGGUCCCGGCGCCUGCACUCCCGCUGUGGCUGCGGCUUGGGCCUAGUGGAAGCGGGCGGGAAGGGCGGGUGUUGUGCUGCAGGGGCGCGGGGGCGCGGGGUGCCGCUUCACCUAUGUCUCUGUGUUCAUGGUAUACGGGCAUGGUGUGGUGUUAAAGUAUUAUUCAGCUUUUUUUUGCAGUGAUGUGAAUGGAGUUGUGAAAACAAUUGAAUUGCUUUUUAAAAGAGGCUUAUUUCGAAGUAAUUUCAGACUUACUCAAAAGUUGCUACAGUAGUACCAAGAAUUCCUUGUACCUUCACUUGCAUUCACAAAUUAAUAUUUUGCCACAUUUGCUUUACCAUUCGUUCUCUCCCCUUCUCUCCCUACACAUGCAUUUUUUCCCCUUUGAACUAUUUGAGGGUAAUUUGCAGGCAUCAUGCCCCUUUAUCUCUAAAUAGAAAUAACUUGUGUAUUUUUCCUAAGCAUAAGGAUGUUCUCUUUUAAUAACCACAGUAAUAUUUUCAGGAAAAUUAGAAUUGUUAUAAUAUUUGGUAAUCUAGAGUUCGUAUGAAAUUUCAGCAAUUAUCUCGAUAAUACCUUUUAUAGGAAAAUUUUUUCUUAGUGCAGAUCCAAUCCAAGAACGAGCAUUGAUUGCAUUUGAUUGUCCUUUUUGUUGCCUUUAAUCUGGAACAGGUUCGCAGCCUUUGUUUUCUGUAAGAUUGGUUUUUUUGAAAAGUGUAAGAAUUAUUUAUUGGAGUGUUUCUCCGUUUGGGUUUAUCUUAUAGAUGCUUGUUCAUUAGAUUGAUUAUGUAUUUUUGGCAGGAGCAUGAGAUGAGUGAUGUGUGGCCUGCUGUGGGGAGGUACAUGAUGUUGGUUUGUCACAUUAUUGAUAUUAACUUUGAUCACUUGGUUAAGAUGGUGUCUACAAGAUUUCUCCACUCUAACCUUUGUAAUUAAUAUGUAAUUUGUGGGGAAAUAUUUUGAGACAGUAAAUUGAGUCUUAGUAAACAAAUUAAAUAUCUUUUUUUUAGUACGAUUUUUCAAAUUUUUAUCAUUCUAAAUGUAAGAGAAGAACUCUAACUUCCCCAGGUAAGCCAGUAUUUUGUGUAUUUGGGGGUUUCAAAAAUUUAAUUUGAGGCCGGGCGUGGUGGCUCACGCCUGUAAUCCCAGCACUUUGGGAGGCCGAGGCAGGCGUAUCACCUGAGGUCAGGAGUUCGAGACCAGCCAGGCCAACGUGGUGAAAUCCCGUCUCUACUAAACAUAAAAAAUUAGCCAAGCAUGGUGGCGGGCGUCUGUAAUCCCAACUGUUCGGAAGGCUGAGGCAGGAGAAUUGGUUGAACCCGUGAGGCAGAGGUUGCAGUGAGCCGAGAUGGCACCACUACACUCCAGCCUGGGCAACAAGAGCGAAACUCAGUCUCAAAAAAGAAAAAAAUAGGCUGGGCGUGGUGGCUCACACCUGUUAAUCCCAGCACUUUGGGAGGCUGAGGCGGGCGGGUCACGAGGUCAGGAGAUCGAGACCAUCCUAGCUAACACGGUGAAACCCUGUCUCUACUAAAAAAAAAAUACAAAAGAUUAGCUGGGUGUGGUGGCGGGCUCCUGUUGUCCCAGCUACUCGGGAGGCUGAGGCAGGAGAAUGGUGUGAACCCGGGAGACGGAGCUUGCAGUGAGCUGAGAUCGCGCCACUGCACUCCAGCCUGGGCGACAGAGCAAGACUCCGUCUCAAAAAAAAAAAAAGAAAAAAAUAAUUUGAAAGAGAAGAUUUUAAAAAUAUUAUGUAGACUUAUGGCCAGUGCCAGAUAUUUUGUGAUACAUUGUUCUGGUAAUCUUUCGUGGUUUCUUGGUCAUUGACAGGUGAUUUGGAUAUCUACUCUGGAGAUAAAGUUGGUUCAUCGUUAAAAUAUUCUGAUGAAAGCAAGCAUUAUAGAACACCAUUGUGCAGCUUAUUCAAGCCUGCAAAUGUGAAUUGAUGAUGAACUGGAUUCUUUCCAUGAUUUGAAGAAACAGGAAACAGAAGAAGAGUUAAUUGGAAAUGAUUAUAGAGUUAGUACCUCCAAAAUAACCAAGCAGUCUUUUAAAGAAAUAGAAAAAGUUGCCCUGCCAACUAAUAUGACCUCAUCGAGACCUUGGACUGAGUGUUGUAGUGAUGCAGGUGACUCUCCUUUGAAAUCUGUCAGCUAUCCAAAAUCUAAAGCAUCAGACAAGCGCAGUUUACUUCCACAUCAGAUCAAUCAGAUAUAUGACGAAUUAUUUCAGAUACAUCUGAAACUGCAGUGUGAAACUGCAGCACAACAGAAAUUUGCUGAAGAACUUCAAAAGCGAGAACGUUUUUUACUUGAAAGAGAACAACUGCUUUUCAGACGUGAAAAUGCCUUGAGUAAAAUUAAAGGUGUCGAAGAAGAGGUUCUUACAAGAUUUCAAAUUAUAAAAGAGCAACAUGAUGCCGAAGUUGAACACUUAACCGAAGUUCUUAAGGAAAAGAAUAAAGAAGCCAAGAGACUGAGGUCCUCUUUUGAUGCAUUGAAAGAAUUGAAUGAUACCUUAAAAAAACAGUUAAAUGAAGCAAGUGAAGAAAACAGGAAGAUAGACAUUCAGGCUAAAAGAGUUCAAGCUCGUUUAGAUAAUUUACAGAGGAAGUACGAGUUUAUCACAAUACAGAGACUGAAAGGAAGUUCCCAUGCUGUUCAUGAAAUGAAAAGUUUAAAACAAGAAAAAGCACCAGUUUCAAAAACUUACAAGGUACCACUUAAUGGGCAAGUUUAUGAACUUUUAACUGUCUUCAUGGACUGGAUUUCGGAUCAUCAUCUUAGCAAAGUGAAACAUGAAGAAUCUGGAAUGGAUGGUAAAAAACCACAACUCAAAUUUGCUUCCCAGAGAAAUGAUAUUCAGGAGAAGUGUGUAAAGCUUUUGCCUCUGAUGACAGAGCAGCUACAGUGGAUGCCAUUUGUGAAUAUCAAACUUCACAAGCCUUUUGUAAAAUGUAUAUAUUGGUCCCUAAGGCAGCUAGAUGCUGGAGCACAGCACUCGACUAUGACAUCAACAUUGAGGAGAUUGGGUGAAGACAUUUUUAAAGGAGUGGUAACUAAAGGAAUUCAGGAUAGUUCACAGCAUUCUGUGGAGAAUAAACCAAAGACAGCUGCUUUCUUUAAGAGCUCCAAUUUGCCAUUGAGAUUUUUAUCAACCUUAAUUGUUCUCAAAACAGUCACUCAAGCUGAUUACCUGGCUCAGGCAUUUGAUUCUCUUUGUUUGGACUUGAAGACAGAAGAAGGAAAAACCUUGUUUUUGGAAUAUCAAGCUGUUCCAGUAAUAUUAAGUCAUCUAAGAAUAUCCAGUAAAGGACUCCUGUCUAAUGUUAUUGAUAGUUUGCUCCAGAUGACGGUGGAAUCUAAAUCCUUGCAGCCUUUCCUGGAAGCCUGUAGCAACUCUUCAUUUUUUCGUACUUGCUCUGUGCUGCUUCGAGCCCCUAAGCUUGAUCUCCAAAUACUAGAAAAACUCAGUAUUAUUUUACAGAAACUUUCCAAAAUCAAGAGUAAUAAGAAGCUCUUUGAACUUUUUACGAUUCAUCUGAUGCUUCAAGAAAUACAAAGGACAACUAACCCAGAGCAUGCAUUUCUCUGUAUUAAUCUAAAUUCAACUCUGUUCAAUUUGGGUUUAACAAAAUGUAACUCCCUGGUCUCCAGUGCAAGCCAUUAGACUGGCUAAUUUUUUAAUAUAGUAUAUGUGGUGCUUAUUUAUAAACAUGUAGAAAUUACCAAAGUAAUUACAAUUCUACCAAGUAAAGUUAUCAGUAGCAUCAUUUAUCACGAAAAAUAAAUAAUUUUUUUGAACUGUAAAAAUGAAAUCUGUAGAAGGUAUUGGAACUUCUGGAAUGUUUCAGUUCAGGUCAUCCUCCAUGCCCUUCUGAUGUCCACAUGUCUCUUCAUUUUCUUCUCAGGCCUCCUCUUUCUCUCCUGCCAUCUAAGUUAUUGAAAUUCUUGAAAUCCUAAGCUGGCCUGGCACUGAGAGGUACUCUGUAAGGGAGCUGAAACUUCCAGCCUUUCUUCCUAUUCACAAACCCACCUUUACCCGCCCCCAAUGCUGGACUUUGGUUUUUCAUGUUGCUUUUGCAGAACUUUAAAACAUUUGAAUCUUUCCCUGAUGAGUUUUUGUCCUGAGGGGCCAGUACAGUUUGCGUGGCACUUGGUUUCCCUCUCAUAUAACUUUUCCCUGCCAAUAAGGCAUUUAGGCUGAGAGAAGUUAUUGAGCAUGUGCAUCCAAAUUUGAGAUGAUUGUUAUUUCAUUACCUGAUGACUUUAACUUCUUUGAUACUGUGUUUGUCUUAUGAAUAUAACGGCUUUCUCACUUUAAUGAAAAGUUAUACAAUAAAAUUGAAAAGUGAGUACUAUAUCUGUAAAAAUUAAUUCCUUUUUAAAUAUAAAGAAUUAAUGGAACCAGGCUUUUUAUUUUUUAUUUUAUUUUUUAUUUGUACAAAUCUAUGAGAUACAUGAGAAAUUUUGUUACAUGUGUAUAAUGUGUGGUGAUCAAGUCAGGGUAUUUGGGGUGUCCACCCGAGUACAAUACAUGUUUUAGUCACCCCAGUCAGCUGUUGGACAUUGAAUUUUUUCCUUCUAACUUACUGUAUGUUUGUACACUUUAACCCAGUUCUCCUUGUCCUCUUCCUCCCACCACUCAUGAUUCCCAGUCUCUGGUAUCUGUCUUUCCCUCUCUACCUCUAUGUGAUCAAAUUUUUUAGCUUCCACAUAUAAGUGGAAACGUGACAUUUGUCUUUUUUGCUUGGCUGUUUUCACUUAGAAUAAUGACCUCUGGUUUUAUCCAUGUUGCUGCAAAUGACAUGACUUCAUUUUUUUGUGGCUGAAUAGUAUUUCAUUGUGUAUAUGUACCACAUUUCCUGUAUCCAUUCGUCCACUGCUGGGCACUUAGGUUGAUUCCAUAUCUUUGCUAUUGUGAAUAGUGCUGCAAUAAACAUGAGGGUGAUAUAUAUCAAUAUAUCGUAUUGAUUUCUUUUCCUUUGGGUAGAUACCCAGUAGAGGGAUUGUUGGAUCCAGUGGUAAUUCUAAUUUUAGUUUUUUGAGAAAUCUUACUUUUCCAUAGUGGCUGUUUAAAUUCUCACCAAUGGUGGGUAAGAAUUAUUUUUAUCUACAUCCUUGCCAACAUCUGUUAUUUUUUGUCUUUUUAAUAAUAGCUCUUCUGACUGGGGUAAGAUUAUAUCUAAUUGUGAUUUUGAUUUUCAUUCUGAUGUUGGGCAUUUUUUCAUGUAUCUCUUGGUUACCUGUAUGUCUUCUCUUGAACAAUGUCUGUUCAUGUCCUUUGCC